AAGCAGGGCCUAGUUACAAUGUAGCUGUGAGGUGCUGCGUUGUUUUUGCCCAUGCUCAAAACAGAACUGUUUCCUUUCUGGCCCUGCCGGCCCAGGUGCCGUAGCCGGCAGGGAUGCAGGGUCUCAUACAC
Small nucleolar RNA from Phyllostomus discolor (pale spear-nosed bat), 131 nucleotides. RefSeq annotates it as small nucleolar RNA SNORA63. The record is from RefSeq and is a predicted model, not a curated record. The transcript has a single exon. NCBI's taxonomy places the organism in Eukaryota, Metazoa, Chordata, Mammalia, Chiroptera, Phyllostomidae.